Molecule: ribosomal RNA, 422 nt
Filed under: uncultured bacterium
Lineage: Bacteria
Description: bacterial SSU rRNA
Rfam family: Bacterial small subunit ribosomal RNA
Source: RNAcentral
UAAGGAAUAUUGGUCAAUGGAGGCAACUCUGAACCAGCCAUGCCGCGUGCAGGAAGACGGCCCUCUGGGUUGUAAACUGCUUUUAUUCGGGAAUAAACCUACUUACGUGUAAGUAGCGGAAUGUACCGAAGGAAUAAGGAUCGGCUAACUCCGUGCCAGCAGCCGCGGUAAUACGGAGGAUCCAAGCGUUAUCCGGAUUUAUUGGGUUUAAAGGGUGCGUAGGCGGCCUAUUAAGUCAGGUGUGAAAGACGGUAGCUCAACCAUCGCAGUGCCCUUAAUACUGAUGAGCUUGAAUGGACUAGAGGUAGGUGGAAUGUGCCAAGUAGCGGUGAAAUGCAUAGAUAUGUCACAGAACACCGAUUGCGAAGGCGGCUUACUAUGGUCUUAUUGACGCUGAGGCACGAAAGCGUGGGGAUCAAACA